GACGUAGGGCGCGAGCGUUGUCCGGAUUUAUUGGGCGUAAAGCGCGUGUAGGCGGCUUGGUAAGUCCGUUCUGAAAGCCCGGGGCUCAACCCCGGGAGGCGGAUGGAUACUGUCAAGCUUGAGUCCGGAAGAGGCGAGUGGAAUUCCCGGUGUAGCGGUGAAAUGCGCAGAUAUCGGGAGGAACACCAAUGGCGAAGGCAGCUCGCUGGGACGUGACUGACGCUGAGACGCGAAAGCGUGGGGAGCAAACAGG
RNAcentral lists this ribosomal RNA (253 nucleotides) under uncultured bacterium. RNAcentral's name for it is "partial 16S ribosomal RNA". It matches the Rfam family "Bacterial small subunit ribosomal RNA", at positions 524 to 776 of the family's 1533-position model. The record is from RNAcentral.